CAAAUGCAUCUAGAUGAAU
Molecule: microRNA, 19 nt
Filed under: Schistosoma mansoni
Lineage: Eukaryota; Metazoa; Platyhelminthes; Trematoda; Strigeidida; Schistosomatidae
Description: sma-miR-8406-5p
Source: miRBase by way of RNAcentral